Molecule: long non-coding RNA, 967 nt
Organism: Drosophila gunungcola (fruit fly)
Lineage: Eukaryota; Metazoa; Arthropoda; Insecta; Diptera; Drosophilidae
Exons: 2
Source: RefSeq, a predicted model, not a curated record
UGGCUUUGCCUGGUGCUCAGUUCACCACUCUCUCUCUCCGCCCUACCGUUACUACGGGCGAAUUCGCCGCGUAACUGGUAACUGGUAGGCCACUGCUUGCAUGCGCUCACUCUGCUUGCUUCUUAACUUGUGGGGAGUUAUUCAACUCCUCACAUUCUCCCCUUACUUCGGGAAUGAAAAAGAGACUCGCUGUUCUCUCUGCCUUGGUACACUCCACAUUCUGACAUUCUUCCCUCGACGUGUCUUCUCGUACUUGUCCUCGUUCGCCUGUAGUCUUCUAGUCGACUUGCUCCUCCCGACGGUUCCCACGACGCUCACAGCUCCUUCUUGAGUUCCACAGCGCCGAUCCUCCUUCCAGAUUUUGAACUUCCCGCCCCAGACGUUUCCCCCGUAGACUUUAAAUUCCCGCCCAGACGUUUUCCCCGUAGACUUUUGAAUUUCCGCCCAGACGUUUCCCCGAUGAUUUUUGAAUUCCCGAUAUGUCUUCUCCGUCGGAUGGCCACUCUACAUCGUGCCGAUCGGUCUCCAGUCGUUAUCGGUGCUAUCGAUAGUCUCUCGUGUGACUCUCUGUUGUAUGGUCACUCUCCGCCAAAUCGAUCGGUCUCCAGUUGCUAUCGGUUCCGUGACCCAACGUGGUGUUGCCACUUAAUAUAUCGAUGUUCCACGGUGUGACUCCCUGUGCCGAUAUUUCCAGUAUUUUGUGCCCACCGAUCGACACUAUCGUCUAGUGCCGAUCGGUCAUAAAUCGACGCGCUCCCAUCCCUUUGGGCAGAUGAGGACAUUUUCUCCGGGUAAGUUUUCUAAUUUCUCCUUUUCUCCUUUCUCUCUGUUCUUUUCUCCUUUUUUUAGCGCUCGGGACCUGACGAAGAGGGUGAUGCGCCUUCUCCUGCACCCCCUCCCCCUCCCGGUUGGCCCACGCAACUUCUCCAUUCCCUUUGCCUGAAGACAAAACUGCCCAACAUUUGGA